CCAGGACUCUCUGCAGACUUGAGAAAGGCUGCAGAGGAGAGGGCUGAGGGGUGGGGUGGAGAUGAGGAGAAAAACAGUUAUCUGCUGAAUGCCAAGCCCCUGGUCUUUAAAUGCCACCUCACUCAGUCCUCCCAGCAGCCAUUGGGGUUGACUUGAUGGUACCAUUCCAGGGAUGAUCACACUCAGAGCAUGAAGUGACUGGGCAGUGGCGGGGUCAGCUUUGGCUUUAGGGCCUUGAGCUGGAAUGUUCUUGGGAUUUGGGUCCCCGCCCUGCUGCUUGCCAGCUCUGGGCCGAGGCAAGUUACUUCCCCUCCUCAAUUUCUCGGUUUCCUCAUUGGCUGUCUCCGGGGACGACUGUGAGCCGUAUAUGUGACAGCUGGGGGCACAGGAACUGACCAGAAGGAAGGAGGGACUGCUCCAGUAGUCAGAAUUUUCCCAACUCUUGAUGGACCUGCGUGGUGCUCACUGCCUCCUGGCUCCGACGACACCACACGGGGAACGCUGAGCAGCACUGCCCAUGGGAAGGGCCCUGGCCUCUGAAAGGUACCAGGGACGCACAUCUCUUGGCAGCUCUAGAAUGGGUCCGAAGCCAAACCAGGGACAGUCUCUCUACCCGUCUGUAUCAGAUGAGGACCAUUGGAUUAAAGUUGUGAAUUCUCUCUGGACGUCAAUAAAUAUGGAAAUGCCAUUGGGGAGAUAA
Molecule: long non-coding RNA, 700 nt
Filed under: Bos mutus (wild yak)
Lineage: Eukaryota; Metazoa; Chordata; Mammalia; Artiodactyla; Bovidae
Description: lncRNA (ENSBMUG00000019007.1)
Source: RNAcentral